AUGAUUCCAGGACCUGGAUUCAUACCAGCCGAUGGUUUGAAGCACUCCUCUAGUUUGAAGGAUAGAUACCUUCUUGGGAUCAAGUGCAUCCUAACUCACCUGCUACCAUAUAACUGGAAUUACCGAUGCAAGUCGAAGAAGGAUUGGCUGGUGCUGCCGGCUGGCGUCAAGUUCGAUCUCACGGAUCAGGAGCUGAUCGAGCCCCUUGAGGCCAAAGUGAGUGUUGACAGCGCGAGAUCUCACCCUCUCAUCGGUUUGUUCAUACCAACCAUCGACAGCGAGCACGGCAUAUGCUACACCCAACCUGAGAAACUUCCAGAUGUUAUGGAAAUGCCAACUACGUACACUAAAACCUGUAUUCGACAAUACUGCAGGUAUCACAAAAGGGGCACGUGGACGCGUCACAAGAUACAGUCGGAGUGCGGCAUGCAGACCGGCAAUACCUUGCCGGUGAUGGUCAACGGCCGACAGACGGGCAGCAAAAAGGUUUUGGUGCUACACACCAACAAGAACUUCGACCAGCAGAGGACCAACUGGGUGAUGCACCAGUACCACCUCGGGGACCUGGAGCAAGAGAAGGAGCGGGAGUGGGUCCUCUGCAAGAUUUUGUACCAGACGAACAUUAGGGCCAGGAGUAAAAAGAUUAUAAGUCGAGCAAGUUUCAACUGGGCUGUAGACUGCCCAGGCUUGGUUUUGUCUUUAACAGGCCCAACCCAUGACGACAAUGGGGCACAAAGAUCCAUCAGGACAAGGGUUCAAUAUCUGGUGCCUGUGGUGUGCAGCAUGGGAAGGAGGUUAUCUGCUAGCUUUGCUUUAGUGUCUCAGGGGGCAAGGCUACAACUUGUUAAUCUGCCCUCUCUUUGA
RNAcentral lists this ribosomal RNA (864 nucleotides) under Triticum aestivum (bread wheat). Its description in RNAcentral is "partial small subunit ribosomal RNA". Lineage: Eukaryota; Viridiplantae; Streptophyta; Magnoliopsida; Poales; Poaceae. The record is from RNAcentral.